AAAUAAUUACAUCUUAGGGGUUACAAAAAAUACCUAUUUCAGAUCUUAGGGGUGCUUUGGAAUGUAGCCAGUUUCGUAUCAUGCAUUAUCUAGUAUUGUAUUUAAAAUUCUGAUGGGUACAAUCCUUGCAGUAAAAAAUUCUGAUAGGUCAAUUUUUCCCAUGAAAGCCCAUCCACCCAAUAUGAACAGAAACUCUACAUCUGAUAGGUCUUAAUUUAUAGAUCUGAUAGGUAGUUUUUCAUGAUGUUUUUUUCUGAUAGGUA
Molecule: long non-coding RNA, 263 nt
Filed under: Mytilus galloprovincialis (Mediterranean mussel)
Lineage: Eukaryota; Metazoa; Mollusca; Bivalvia; Mytilida; Mytilidae
Source: RNAcentral